GACGAACGCUGGCGGCGUGCUUAACACAUGCAAGUCGAACGAAGAGCGAUGGAAGCUUGCUUCUAUCAAUCUUAGUGACGAACGGGUGAGUAACGCGUAAUCAACCUGCCCUUCAGAGGGGGACAACAGUUGGAAACGACUGCUAAUACCGCAUACGAUCUAAUCUCGGCAUCGAGGAUAGAUGAAAGGUGGCCUCUACAUGUAAGCUAUCACUGAAGGAGGGGAUUGCGUCUGAUUAGCUAGUUGGAGGGGUAACGGCCCACCAAGGCGAUGAUCAGUAGCCGGUCUGAGAGGAUGAACGGCCACAUUGGGACUGAGACACGGCCCAGACUCCUACGGGAGGCAGCAGUGGGGAAUCUUCCGCAAUGGACGAAAGUCUGACGGAGCAACGCCGCGUGAGCGAUGACGGCCUUCGGGUUGUAAAGCUCUGUUAAUCGGGACGAAAGGCCUCCUUGCGAAUAGUGAGAAGGAUUGACGGUACCGGAAUAGAAAGCCACGGCUAACUACGUG
This 510-nucleotide ribosomal RNA is filed under the name uncultured bacterium. RNAcentral describes it as "partial 16S ribosomal RNA". It matches the Rfam family "Bacterial small subunit ribosomal RNA", at positions 28 to 507 of the family's 1533-position model. The record is from RNAcentral.